CCAAUAGCGUAUAUUAAAGUUGUUGCAGUUAAAAAGCUCGUAGUUGAAUUUCGGGAUUGACGUGAUGGUCAUGCCUUAAGGGGUAUGAACUGUUGCUGUUGAUUUCUCACCUUCUGGAGAAACUUGAUGUCCUUUAUUGGGUGUCUUGCGGAUCCAGGACCUUUACCUUGAAAAAAUUAGAGUGUUUAAAGCAGGCAUUUUUGCUCGAAUACAUUAGCAUGGAAUAAUAGAAUAGGACGGCAUGGUUCUAUUUUGUUGGUUUCUAGGAUCACCGUAAUGAUUAAUAGGGAUAGUUGGGGGCAUUAGUAUUAAAUUGUCAGAGGUGAAAUUCUUGGAUUUAUUGAAGACUAACUACUGCGAAAGCAUUUGCCAAGGAUGUUUUCAUUAAUCAAGAACGAAAGUUAGGGGAUCGAAGACGAUCAGAUACCGUCGUAGUCUUAACCAUAAACUAUGCCGACUAGGAAUCAGACGAUGUUAAUUUUUUAAUGACUCGUUUGGCACCUUACG
This 507-nucleotide unclassified non-coding RNA is filed under the name uncultured Entrophospora. RNAcentral's name for it is "SSU rRNA". It matches the Rfam family "Eukaryotic small subunit ribosomal RNA", at positions 591 to 1092 of the family's 1831-position model. Lineage: Eukaryota; Fungi; Glomeromycota; Glomeromycetes; Entrophosporales; Entrophosporaceae. The record is from RNAcentral.